UGGGGUGUGGCUCAGUGGUAGAGCACCUGCCUAGCAUGUGCAAGGUUCUGGGAUCCAUCCCCAGCACCACAC
This 72-nucleotide transfer RNA is filed under the name Marmota marmota marmota (Alpine marmot). It matches the Rfam family "tRNA". Rfam says of the family: Transfer RNA (tRNA) molecules are approximately 80 nucleotides in length. RNAcentral also lists the same sequence under 3 other names. The record is from Rfam by way of RNAcentral. Lineage: Eukaryota; Metazoa; Chordata; Mammalia; Rodentia; Sciuridae.